Molecule: transfer RNA, 75 nt
Filed under: Coconut lethal yellowing phytoplasma
Lineage: Bacteria; Bacillati; Mycoplasmatota; Mollicutes; Acholeplasmatales; Acholeplasmataceae
Description: tRNA-Ile
Rfam family: tRNA
About the family: Transfer RNA (tRNA) molecules are approximately 80 nucleotides in length.
Source: RNAcentral
AGGGCCUAUAGCUCAGUUGGUUGGAGCACACGCCUGAUAAGCGUGAGGUCGGUGGUUCAAGUCCAUUUAGGCCCA